This 113-nucleotide non-coding RNA is filed under the name Burkholderia sp. RNAcentral's name for it is "TPP sequence". It matches the Rfam family "TPP riboswitch aptamer (THI element)". From Rfam's summary of the family: Vitamin B(1) in its active form thiamin pyrophosphate (TPP) is an essential coenzyme that is synthesised by coupling of pyrimidine and thiazole moieties in bacteria. The record is from RNAcentral. Lineage: Bacteria; Pseudomonadati; Pseudomonadota; Betaproteobacteria; Burkholderiales; Burkholderiaceae. RNAcentral also lists the same sequence under 1 other name.
ACGGCGAAACAGGGGUGCUUCGCGCGCAUCGGUACAGGGCGCGGCGAGGCUGAGAGAGACCCUUUGCACCCGAUCCGGGUAAUACCGGCGAGGGAAGUUUCCGGAGAACGCGC